Molecule: transfer RNA, 73 nt
Filed under: Caudoviricetes sp.
Lineage: Duplodnaviria; Heunggongvirae; Uroviricota; Caudoviricetes
Description: tRNA-Pro
Rfam family: tRNA
About the family: Transfer RNA (tRNA) molecules are approximately 80 nucleotides in length.
Source: RNAcentral
CUAGCAUUAGCUCAGUUGGUAGAGUGCAUGGUUUGGAUCCAUGAGGUCGAAAGUUCAAAUCUUUCAUGCUAGA